GGUGAUCGUGUUGAGUGCAACUGCUGCAGAGUGACAACAUGCUAACAAAAGGAUGCUGCAGGCAAUUCUGGAAUGGAAAAAUGAGGCAAGCAGAAUUUAUUCUUGACAAUGAGAUAAAGAGGCUUUACCUCAGCCUGUAAUGAGUCUGAAGGAUGAAAAACUCUUCACAAAACUUGAAUUUAUUCAAGUACGUCAACCCUGAGCAUCAGGAAAGGCACCGUAAAUGAACACACUAUUACCUCUCAGCAAGGAGCAUCCUGAAUCAGAAGUUUUCAAUGCUGAGUUUCCUUUGAAAAAGGAAUCCUGAAAAAUGUCACAGAAAUUAGACUUAGAAGAACUCCAGGCACCAUACCACAUUUUGAUGAAUUCCUGAUUAAGCAGUCCAAAGAACAGCGUGGUUAAUGACUUCUAGAAGUUUUGAGCAGGUUUAGGCUGUACAGUACCCAAUUGAAGGAGUGUGAAUACCAAACUGCAGUAACUGCUGCUGUCUUUGUAGGGUGUUCUGGUGGUUUGCAUCUCUGGCCUUUUCAUUUGGAGAAAGAAAAACUACGGGCUGUUCAGAGUACUCUGAGCAGAAGUACAAAUCAAAGCAUCAAGUACUCUUUGUUCAAACCCACUGCAAUUUCCUGCCCUAAAAAAUAAGCAGCAGUUGUGACCGCACCUUUUGUAUGAGAGAGCUCUGGUUAAAUUGUCCUCAGGAAUGUGAAGAAAUUACUGAUAUGCACUUCGGUGCUUUUUCCUUACGAGAUGCAAAGACAAAUCCUGUCUGUCUUGUGUUAGUAAAGCCAUUCCCAGACUUGUUUGCAAUUGGAGCUGAAACAGCCAGAAUUCAAUGCUAUCUGAAUGAGACUGUGCUCAUAAAGAAGCCUUUGCCUCUGCUUAUGGAAACACAAAGUUCCAUAACUUUAUCUACUCUUGUGCUUCUGAGAAUAAUGCAGCUGACAAACCAGUGCUAGAGAGUAUAAAAACACAUCUAUGCCUUCUAUCACAUGCAUCUACAACCAUGCCCAGUGUGUAUGAUUAUAUACUUGUUGGAAAUUCAGAAAGGUGAUCUGUGAUGCCAGCUCCUUGUGCCAACAGUUUCCAAUGGCAGAUUGCAAGCCCUGUCUCCAGAUGAAAUAACGAUGUUGAAAUCCCAUCCUGGCCUGUUUCUCCAGGUGGUCAGGUCAUGAAAUUGACUGUCAAAGAUCCAAUAUUAGUGCUUGUUCUCAAGGCAACACUGAAGAGGCGGCUGAAAGAGGAAUUGCUGUUAAGAGUUCAAAGCAUUUUUAAUCCAUAAACAUGAGCUGUUUGCUCGUAAAGAAUCUCUUCUGGGAAAAUCGUACCGCUAUUCCUGCAGGAGACUGCUGAGUCACGUUAACUGUGUUAUACGUGGUGCAGGCAGGGAUUGUGUGCAUGGAGAUAUUAGUCAUACAUUUUGGCUGGUGGCUUGGAAAUGUGCUACCUGCCAAGCCAGUGACACCGCUUCCUGAAUGCCCCCCUAUUCCAUCAGCGAUGCGCGAGGAGCUGUGGCCCAGAGUCUGUAUUGAUUCCUGUGGGCCUUUUCCAACAGAAACACAGCUUCCUUAUUAUGGUAAGCUUAUAUUCAGAAUAUCGCAGUGGGAUUUUAUCCUCCUUGGAAACAGCUCCUGUCUCUGUCUGUGCUCCCUGCUGAAGGUGGAAUGUGGUUACUGCUCACCAGCUGUUCUGAUGGUAGAACAGCCCUCCUGGCUGAAGGAUUCAAGGAUCUGAUCAAAACAGCCUCAGCUGAGCUGUGACACUGUGCCACGCUGUCCCUGUGCAAGUUGUAAUACUGGGCCAGUGUGAGGAGAGCUAAAGAGGUCUUGAAAAGCUUUAUACUUGCAAGGUUCCUCAUAAUUCAGUGCUAAACAUCUGCUCUGACAGUCAGAAGGAAUUCUUCUGAGCUAUGACAUGACAUCAUCUCAAAUGACUCCUCUGUCGACUCAAGCUUGAUCUGUCUGGAAGUUUCUGAUACAAGCACUAUGUUUUCGACAUCACAUUUCACAUGACAAAAAGCCUCUAUGUGAUAGAAACAGUGGAGCUGAGCAGUGUGUCUGCCACCUCAGUGGAAAUCUGAUUAUUCCUUUAACAUUAUUUUCUUUAAUAUUCAAUUCCAGAACUAGUAGCACGAUGCUGACAGUGUACUAACAGCUCCUUCAACAUUCAUAGAAUAGAUCCUGCUUUUCUGGUGAGUGCUACGUAGACUUAAUGGAUGCCUGGUUUUCUUUCUCUGCUGAUUUUUAAGAUGUUAAGUGACGUUUCCUCUGCAUUUCUGGUCUUCUCCCUCUCGUUUCUUCUGCUCUGGGUUUUCUUCCCCCCAUGUUUCUAAACACUCUGUCAUUGCUCUGCUUUUCCAGACUUCUGUGUUGAAACUGACACCUGGAUCUCAUGUUAAUUGCUGCACUUCACAUUCAUUGCAAGAGAAAAGAGAGGAAAAAUGUACAAACAGCUCUGCAGAGCAGUGAAUUGAUGUUUUCAUAGAAGUGUCUGUCACCACCCCAAGAACUCUAUCCUGAGUGGUUAAAGCUAAUUCAGAACCCAUCACUGUACACGUAAAGCUGUCCAGCUGAUCAGCAAUUCAGGCUGAGAACAAUUGUUCCUUACACCACUCGCUGCCUCUGUCAGACUUCAUGAAGAAGCCGGAGCAAGGUCAAUAAAACUUCGACAUCUUUCACCUUUAAAAGAAAAGGAUUAUUUUAGGAGACAGAAAGUGUUUGGUUCUGCUCUGCCUCCUCUUUCUGACUGGUGUUCCUGCCAUCGCUCCCACUUGACACUCUAUGGGACCACCACAUGUUCUCAGCCUCAGAGCAGGUGUUUACUGGGCCUCCUUCCCAGACAAAUAAUCCUCACAAGGAGAGAUGGAGAACUUCAUCUUUCUGGAAGGACUGAACAGAGGGAUUUGUCCAGCUCUGGUUACCUGUCUGCAGAUGUCUAAGCUCCGCUCAGCCCAGUUUUCCAAAUGGGAUGUAUCAGGCCCUGAUUUAGGCAAUUGAAGAAAUUAUACAAUAAUUCCUGUGGUUCGGUGCAUCUGUCCAAUGAAUACAUGUGUUUUUUUUCAAUAACGUCUGUUACAAAGUGGCCAAUAGCUUACCUGCUCUCCCCUGAGUAAUCAGAGCAUGGCAUGCCUGCCACAGGAAUUGUCCUCUGUGAAUGUGGGCGUUGAAAGGACAGUCUAGAAAAGAAAACAACUUAUUGAAAGAAAGCAACAUCUGUUUCCAAAAGAGGUCCAUAUCUGAGCAGAGGGAAUGUCAGGUGAGCAAAUUUUGUUAUGAAACAGACUGAAAGAUACUUGGUGUAUCACAGAAACCACAGCAUCUCAGAAGCUCUGUGUUGACAGGACUUCGCUGGUCUCUUUUCAGCCUUUUGCUCAGAGUAGGACUAUUGCUGGGGCCUGAUCAGGGCACCUGUGACUUUACCAAGUCUUGUGAUACCUGAUGAAGGUGAUAUGCCUUCUGUAGUGCCUCCCAGGGCUGCACCUGCUUCUGGAGAAGUGCUUCCAACUGAAACUUCUCUAGCUGCUCUUUGUAGCCAUUCUUCCUAUACUUGUAGGGACAUGAGCAAGGCCAGCUCCCUCAACUUUUUUUCAUGCAUGGUGAUCUUAGUGACCUGAUCAAGAAAUUCAGGCAAGCAAGUGGGCUAUAAAAGAUACCGUGUUGUAAGUAGGAAUUGUUCUCAGCCAGACCGCAUUAUAAGGCAUGACGUCUGUCAGGAAUGCACUGAUAUCAAGUUAAUAUAGGGAGAGUGACCUUUAGAUUUGAAUUUGACAUAAGCAGAUUAAGCUGGAUUUUUCAUUCUAGCCAUAUGGAUCUGAAUUUUUGUUUGUUUUCAGACAUAAUCUAUUAACUUUAUCUCAAUAUUAUGUUAACCUGACUUCUCUGAGUCAUGUCUCCCCCCAUGGCUGCUGUGAACCUGAAGCUAUGUUUCUGGAAACCUUUAACAAAUACCUGACUCUCCCCUAUGUUACCCCAAGAAAGCCAACAAUGAAUGGCAUUUGCUACUAGAGAAAUGACAUCUGUCAUUCUGAGAGCUGGAGAUGCACAGUGCCUUUCAGAUACAUGGUAAAGUACUGACAGAGCCGUUCCAGAUCAUCUGAGUCCUGAUGAAACCAGUGGUGCCAUACAGGGCAAAUGUAGAGAGUGUGAUCACAUGCUGCUUGGAGGAAUGUGCAUCCAUACCUUCUCUUUAAUCAGCUUGCCCAGUGUUGUCUCUCCCAGGAAAGCUCUCUGUGGCAAGGCCUCCAGCUUAAAUAACAAGGGCAGAAAAUGCUGGAGUGACCAGAAAAAGGCCCUUUGGAGCCAUGAUGCAAAGACUGGUUGCAGACCGGGGACUGAGAAAAAGAAAAGCAUGUGGAGGGUGAGGUCACUUUACUUUUGACUGCUGAUUUCCAGAUUGUGAUGGCCUUAGUGCUAAAGGUUAUGCUCAGAACUACAUGAUAAGCUCUUGAUGAAGGACUCUUCCCUCUGUUGUUCCUGUCCCUGGACAUUAGGAGUUCCUUCCUCUGCUUUCAGAGGUAAUCGCCGGUGGCAUUUAUAGACCGUGUUUGUACUUGGACAUGCAGACAUGCAUCUCUCUGAGAACUGAAGAUGUCAGCAGUGUUUUCACUGCUCCUCUUAGGAUUUAUUCUAAGUUAUUUUUGGAUAUCUUGUAUAACCGAUCUCUUAAGCCCUCUUAAGUUUAAUUUUAGACUUUGCAGAGUUUAUCCUGCUGUGCCACCCUUUUCCAGAUGCAUCGUCACCUAAUAACUAGGUCCUGCAGAGUCUUUGGAGAAUGCAGAAAAGGCUGUCAUUUAGUGCUGCAACAAGAACAGUGUCUAAGGUUCCUUCCCUUGAUAGCCUUCACCCACUUGUCUCAGUGAUUCCAACUGAGGAGAAAGCCAAGGAGUGGUCUCUCCUGUCCAUGACUCUCUUGCAUAGACAGAGGAGAUGCAACCUGGCUUUAACAGUGCUGCACAGUGUGCAGAGCUCUCUGGAGCUCAGCAGCAUCAGGGAGUUGCUGCAGGUUGAGGAGAAAGGACUGACUACCCAAACAUCAACAGGAGGAAACUAUGGUGCCAACUUAUUCUAGGGCUUCCCAAGGAUGAGGUAGAAAUCUGUGACGCCAUCUGUGCAAGCCCUGGCAAAUGCAUUCCAUCCUAAGCAUGCUGGCUCUGCACAGGUUCACUUGUCUCACUGGACUUCCUUAGAAGGUCAUAGCGACCUACAGGUCUAGGUAUCAGCAACUGAAAGCACUGAAAUUUGUGUUUUUCUCCAGUUAAUAUUACUUAAUUGUGCAGAUACGUGUGUAUUUGUAAUUGAGCAGGGAUCUUCAGACUUAAACAGCCAGAGAGUAGAAGACAUAUCUGGAAAUACCCAUGGUCUGAGCUGGUGCCUGGGGAGAAGUGGGCAGUUUAUCACUGGUGACCUUGACACUUGCUCAGAUGGAGAGGAAGAGGAGCUGUUGGGGUGCUGCUACAGGCAAAGCUCUCUGCAUUGGUCUGUGUGGCCAGCAGUAACUGGCACUGAGGUAACAGUCUCAAUUAUCCAUCCGGAUGAUCAUUUGUAUCUCUUUGAAAUACGGGACCUGUGUGUUUAUCUUCUACUUCUUUGAAGUUUAUUCCAUCUACAAGCAACCAGAAAAGCCCCUCAGACCGCUUCUUCAAGACUGCUGGGUUAAGUGGCUGAAGAUGGACUCAUCCAAAGAUUUGAAGAGGCUCUGGCUGUUUUCCACUGUGGAAAUAUGUGGAUACCUAGCAACCUGCUGUUACCAUUCCCUCUGCAGUCUGCAGUUCUGUGAAGAAUUUUCAGUGGGACAUUCCAUCAGAUGCUUUGUGAAAAUCCACAGAGACUGGGUCUAAUGCAUUACUCUUGUCUAGUUCUAUCUUUGAUAAAACUCUACCUUUGAUAGUAUCCAGUUGUUGCCCUGUACUGACUGCUUUCCCUAAAACCUGUCCUAAUGUUGCUGGGUCAAGUGGUCUCUAUUAUUUUUGCCCAUCUUCCUCUCUGAGUACAGAAAUGUGAAGAUUUAUGAAAGAUUCUUGCUACCAAAACUGCAUUUUCAUGUGCCAAUUAUUUCAGCACUCUCGGAUGGAAACUAUCCAUGCCCCCUGAGUUCAGUUCCUCUAUCGCUGGAAAUUAUCUCUUUAAUACAAAGCUAAACCUCCUCAAUUUCUUUUACCCACUCUUUCCUUCCUAAGCAAUUUGUAACUAGCAAUUUUUACGUUUCAGUUGUGAAUAAACCCACCAGGUUUCAGUUAUGCCAAUUAUAUUACAUUUUUCAUAAUGCAGUAAGAUUUCCCAAUUCCUCCUGCUUUUUAAUUAUUUAUUCACAGGUGCUUCUGCCCUAUCCCUCUCCCUGGACAGCUGCCUAUGAUUUAUUCAAUACUGAAGGAUGCACCUCUCUAGUUCUCUGGCUCCUUCUGCAGAUGUGCUUUUAGUGUCUAUAUUUGUGGUCCACUUUGAUGCAUCUUUGCAUAUCAGGUAAGUUCUACUCUCCCAAGCUCCAGCCCUGGAGUUGUUCAAGGCUAGGCUGGAUGGGGUCCUGGGCAGCCUGAUCUCCUGUCUUAUAGAGUUGCUGGCAACCCUAUUUGUGACAGUGGGGUUAAAAGUAGAUGAUCCCAACCCGACCCAUUUGCUGAUUUCUUCCUUGAAGAGUGCUAAUGAAUAUGUGGUGGCACUGAGAAUACAGAGACACCUUGCUUUUGAAAUAGAAUUCCAAUAAUGCAAAACGAGCUUGUAUAUACAGUUUUCUUAUUUCUCUGGCUUUUGUGAAGUGUGGUGAGCAACACAAGAAAGCUCUUUUUCUUAUUGAAAGGGGCAGUAUUCUUCAAGUGCAUCUAUACAAGUGCUGCUUUUCUCUCUUAUAUAUAGAUGCGAUUAUCGAUACUGCCUGCUCAUUAGCCUCUUAAACAAGAUCCAAGUUAUGGUUUAUUCCUAUUAAAAUCAAAUAAAUGCUUUAAUGAGCAAAAAAGGCUAAGAGUUUAUUGCUUCCCAGUUCUCUAAAACGAUAAGGUAGGCUGCCUUACCUACUUCGGAUGUUGAUUUUUUUCUUUUUAUUAUUAUUAUAUUCUUGAGUCAGAAAAUCCACCCAUCAGUUUACUGCUGGAUCUUUUCCAUCCCUGCUGCUGUUACCAUAUCACUAGUUUAGUAUCUUGUGAUACAUCCAGUAGUGGCCCAAGCACAGGCCUAGACAGCAGGUGUGAAAUAAGAUAUGCAUGCAAGGUCAUACUCAAAAAGAAAUAAAAUGAUAGGCAGCUCAGCCCUGAGUCACCUGGCUAUGGCCAAGGAAUUCACAACCUGGAACAAGGCACCAAACACUUCGUGCUGUGUCUACGUGCAGAACAGGACUUGAGAACAGCAUUGAGCUACAGAGCUCAUAAGGUAUGCUUUAGAUUCGUGUUCUUUGGGAAACUAGAUGUAUUGCUCUUAUGGAUGGUACCUUCACCUCUUUGGUAUCCAAAGCACUGA
This is a long non-coding RNA of Gallus gallus (chicken), 7442 nucleotides long. RefSeq lists it as uncharacterized. The record is from RefSeq and is a predicted model, not a curated record. The transcript has 11 exons. NCBI's taxonomy places the organism in Eukaryota, Metazoa, Chordata, Aves, Galliformes, Phasianidae.